RNAcentral lists this long non-coding RNA (633 nucleotides) under Ursus maritimus (polar bear). RNAcentral describes it as "lncRNA (ENSUMAG00000003287.1)". The record is from RNAcentral. Lineage: Eukaryota; Metazoa; Chordata; Mammalia; Carnivora; Ursidae.
AAAUUUGGUAGCUACUGCUUGUGACCUUCAGUCAGUGAAGUUUGGUACAACAGUGAAAUAUAUGGGGACCAAACCUGUUGUAGCAAAAGGCUUGCUUCACUGUUCAUUGGUGACAAGAAUCGACUUCAUAGAGUAACUUCGAGAGGAAAAGAGGCAAUUUCGAGGGACCCAAAAGUUUUGUCAUCACUUUCAGACAGAUGAAAAAGUACACUGAAAGGCAAGAAGAGGAACAGGUGUUGUGCACAGCCCCGGCUGCUGGAGGCCACCACAAGAGGGAGGCAGAGGUACCACCCCAGGCUCUCAGGCUGUCCCUGGAGCUGGCACUGGGCCUGCCUGGAUGGUGGUGAGGCCAAGGCCCAGGCAGCGCUCUGGCAACCACCAGGUUGAAAAAGACUUGCUGAACAAAGAAAGUCCACUUCGUAGAUGAAGACAGGAGGGACUGCUCUCCAUUUGGCCUGUGCCACUGGCCAUCCAGAUGUGGUGAGUUUUCUAGCAGACAGGAAUUGCCAGCUUAACCUCUAUGAUAAAGAAGAUAGGACCCUGUUAAUAAAGGGGGGCCAGAAAUUUCCUGACUGUAAGCUUUUCCUAACUGACACCAAAGGAAACCUGGGGAUCCCAGAUCAAUCAAAAUGA